Molecule: ribosomal RNA, 725 nt
Filed under: Salmonella enterica subsp. enterica serovar Bredeney
Lineage: Bacteria; Pseudomonadati; Pseudomonadota; Gammaproteobacteria; Enterobacterales; Enterobacteriaceae
Description: partial 23S ribosomal RNA
Rfam family: Bacterial large subunit ribosomal RNA
Source: RNAcentral
CCGGCGAGGGGAGUGAAAAAGAACCUGAAACCGUGUACGUACAAGCAGUGGGAGCACCCUUUGGGGUGUGACUGCGUACCUUUUGUAUAAUGGGUCAGCGACUUAUAUUCUGUAGCAAGGUUAACCGAAUAGGGGAGCCGGAGGGAAACCGAGUCUUAAUUGGGCGUUAAGUUGCAGGGUAUAGACCCGAAACCCGGUGAUCUAGCCAUGGGCAGGUUGAAGGUUGGGUAACACUAACUGGAGGACCGAACCGACUAAUGUUGAAAAAUUAGCGGAUGACCUGUGGCUGGGGGUGAAAGGCCAAUCAAACCGGGAGAUAGCUGGUUCUCCCCGAAAGCUAUUUAGGUAGCGCCUCGUGAAUUCAUCUCCGGGGGUAGAGCACUGUUUCGGCUAGGGGGCCAUCCCGGCUUACCAACCCGAUGCAAACUGCGAAUACCGGAGAAUGUUAUCACGGGAGACACACGGCGGGUGCUAACGUCCGUCGUGAAGAGGGAAACAACCCAGACCGCCAGCUAAGGUCCCAAAGUCAUGGUUAAGUGGGAAACGAUGUGGGAAGGCCCAGACAGCCAGGAUGUUGGCUUAGAAGCAGCCAUCAUUUAAAGAAAGCGUAAUAGCUCACUGGUCGAGUCGGCCUGCGCGGAAGAUGUAACGGGGCUAAACCAUGCACCGAAGCUGCGGCAGCGACGCUGAUGCGUUGUUGGGUAGGGGAGCGUUCUGUAAGCCUG